Molecule: small nuclear RNA, 146 nt
Filed under: Nothobranchius furzeri (turquoise killifish)
Lineage: Eukaryota; Metazoa; Chordata; Actinopteri; Cyprinodontiformes; Nothobranchiidae
Description: U1 spliceosomal RNA (ENSNFUG00015024274.1)
Rfam family: U1 spliceosomal RNA
About the family: U1 is a small nuclear RNA (snRNA) component of the spliceosome (involved in pre-mRNA splicing).
Source: RNAcentral
AUACAUAUAAGUUCCAUGAUCAAGAAGGUGGUUCACCCAGGGUGAGGCUCAGCCAUUGCACUCAGUGUUGUGCUGACCCCUGCGAAUUCCCCAAAUGUGGGAAUCUCGACUGUUUUUUUCAGCGCCUUGGGCUUCCUGACAGGGUU